GACGAACGCUGGCGGCGUGCUUAACACAUGCAAGUCGAACGGUGAAGCGCCUUCCUUUUUGGUGGGUGUGGAUGAGUGGCGAACGGGUGAGUAACACGUGAGUAACCUGCCCCCUUCUUCUGGAUAACCGCAUGAAAGUGUGGCUAAUACGGGAUAUUCUGGGUCUGUCGCAUGAUGGGUCUGGGAAAGAUAUUGUUUCGGUGGGGGAUGGGCUCGCGGCCUAUCAGCUUGUUGGUGGGGUGAUGGCCUACCAAGGCGGUGACGGGUAGCCGGCCUGAGAGGGUGGACGGUCACACUGGGACGGAGACACGGCCCAGACUCCUACGGGAGGCAGCAGGGGGGAAUAUUGCACAAUGGGCGCAAGCCUGAUGCAGCGACGCCGCGUGAGGGAUGGAGGCCUUCGGGUUGUGAACCUCUUUCGCCAGUGAAGCAGGCCCGCCUCGUUUGUGGGUGGGUUGACGGUAGCUGGAUAAGAAGCGCCGGCUAACUACGUG
Molecule: ribosomal RNA, 494 nt
Filed under: uncultured bacterium
Lineage: Bacteria
Description: partial 16S ribosomal RNA
Rfam family: Bacterial small subunit ribosomal RNA
Source: RNAcentral